GAAUUAAGGAGCAGAUCGUAAAACAAAAUACAUCAAACAUAUAAAGCAUCCAAGUAGGAGGCUUUGGAUCUCCAUGAACAGUUGGACACAUCAGCCAUAGCAGAGCAGUACUGGGCAAUUGGAUAUAUGCAGAGAAAUGGGGGCAGGCAUCCAAGAGGCCUUGCUCAAGAAGGUGGUCGGGGUCAGCAAGAACCAAGCAUGGGUCACAGAUGGCAUCUGAGAAGGCAAAAUAUUGCUUCAGUAUACUGAUUCUAAGCAGGUAGAUGGCUGACCACAAAGAGAUACUUGGAGGAAGUGUGAGCCUAAUAGACCAUUCUAACUGUUCUUUUACCAUGUGAUGCCUUCUGCCAUGCGAGAAAGCCCUCACCAGAUGCAAUCCCUCAGUCUUGAAUUUUCCAGCCUCCAGAAUCAUGAGACAAAUUUAUAUUAUUUAUAAAUUACCCAGUCUGUGGUAUUCUGUUAUGGCAACAGAAAACAGACUAAGACACCAAUCUAUUGAAGCCUAAUAAAGUAAAAACUUCUGUAUUGAAAAUAAAAUAUCUUGGGGGGAGUUUGUUUAAUAAAAAUGGAGCUAUAAUUAUUGUUGUAGCUAUAAAUUAUUACCAAGAGUCCUCUAGCUAAUUUGAAGGCUUUAAUGUGUCUAUAGUUAGAAAUGAGAAAUUUACUGCAAUAAACUACGUAGUAUCUGUUGCUCUUUGAAAACAAAGAAAUCUGUUGUAUGGCAGCCGUAUAGCCCUGGAGCAUCCUGAUGAACUGUAAACAAUCCAGGCUCUACUGUGUGUGGGGUAAAAAAAAAAAAAAAAAAAUUAGCUGAUGUUUAAUAUAGAAUUGUAUUCUAGCCGUGUAACCAAAGGCUUUAAAAGCACCUUUUCCUUCUCUUUCAGAGGCUGGUAUUAAUAAAAUUACUUGGUAAUUUGGCAGUUGUAAAUUGUGACCCUCUGUCAGUGGCUAGGUCACAGAUGUCUCCCUCCUUUCCUUUUUAAACACUGAUGGGUUCAACACAGUAAACAUUGACUUCAUAAAUAAGCAGAGUCAGAGUACUAGGUUCUAGUCACUUCCAUAAUGGAAAGUAAGCAGAGCAAUUUAAUAGUGGGUGUGGGAAGUGGAAGGAGGGGGAACCAGGAUCAUAGUCAAGCAAAUAAUGGAAUGAAUACCCUAUUUAAGUAUGCCAGACAUACUCGUGUAAAAGAAGCUUGUGGGUCACCAGAUACUACAGGAAUGGCAUGCUGGGUUGAUCCCAUAAUUAAGGGAGAAGACAUAAGUCAGGAGCAUCUCAGACCAAAUGUCUUGCGCUACUAUACACUAUAAUUAUUACUCUUAUGAGUCUUACUUCAAUAGGCACUUUGCACUGAUGAUAUGAAAUGCCUUCUCCUUUCAGUAUCAAAAGUUAAAGAGUAAAGUGUAUGGAAGAUUGGAGAGUCAGCUAAUA
Molecule: long non-coding RNA, 1429 nt
Filed under: Homo sapiens (human)
Lineage: Eukaryota; Metazoa; Chordata; Mammalia; Primates; Hominidae
Description: HSALNT0208604
Source: RNAcentral